This 27-nucleotide small RNA is filed under the name Bombyx mori (domestic silkworm). Its description in RNAcentral is "piRNA piR-bmo-2061092". The record is from RNAcentral. Lineage: Eukaryota; Metazoa; Arthropoda; Insecta; Lepidoptera; Bombycidae.
UCACGUCAAAUGCGUUGGCUCUAUUGG